Molecule: ribosomal RNA, 253 nt
Filed under: uncultured bacterium
Lineage: Bacteria
Description: partial 16S ribosomal RNA
Rfam family: Bacterial small subunit ribosomal RNA
Source: RNAcentral
UACAGAGGUCCCAAGCGUUGUUCGGAUUCACUGGGCGUAAAGGGUGCGUAGGUGGCAAGGUAAGUUUGAUGUGAAAUCUCCGAGCUUAACUCGGAAACUGCAUUGAAUACUCUCUUGCUUGAGGGUUGGAGGGGGGACUGGAAUUCUCGGUGUAGCAGUGAAAUGCGUAGAUAUCGAGAGGAACACCAGUGGCGAAGGCGGUGGUCUGGGCCGGCACUGACGCUGUAGAGCGAAAGCGUGGGGAGCGAACAGG